This 775-nucleotide ribosomal RNA is filed under the name uncultured Neocallimastigales. Its description in RNAcentral is "partial large subunit ribosomal RNA". It matches the Rfam family "Eukaryotic large subunit ribosomal RNA", at positions 24 to 640 of the family's 3401-position model. The record is from RNAcentral. Lineage: Eukaryota; Fungi; Neocallimastigomycota; Neocallimastigomycetes; Neocallimastigales.
UAUGUGAUCGUCUCUCGCAUAUCAAUAAGCGGAGGAAAAGAAACUAACAAGGAUUCCCCUAGUAACGGCGAGUGAAGCGGGAAGAGCUCAAAUUUGAAAUCUUAAAGGGUUUCCCUUUACGAAUUGUAGUUUAAAGAAGUGUUUUCUGUUGAGGUUUUGGUAAAAGUUCUUUGGAAUAGGACAUCAUAGAGGGUGAGAAUCCCGUAUUUGACCUUUACUUUCAACUUUGUGAUACACUUUCAAAGAGUCGGACUGUUUGGGAAUGCAGUCCAAAAUGGGUGGUAAAUUUCAUCUAAAGCUAAAUAUUGGCGAGAGACCGAUAGCGAACAAGUACCGUGAGGGAAAGAUGAAAAGAACUUUGAAAAGAGAGUUAAACAGUACGUGAAAUUGUCAAAAGGGAAGCGUUUGACACCAGUGUUGUUUUUCUGAAAAUCAAUUAAAGAACUGUUUAUGCUAAGUUGUUUAGACUUUAUCAGCUAACUGUUUAGUUUUGAGCUUUUCUUUAAUGCACUUUUCAGUUAACAAGUCAACAUCAAUUUCUUUUGCUGUAAAAAAGCUUGAGGAAGGUGGCUUGAGAUUCGUCCUUAAGUGUUUAUAGCCUCUUGCCUAUGCAGUCGGAGAGAUUGAGGUCUGCAGCGUAGAUCCUUCGGGGCUAAAUGCAUUUGUGCUAAGUUAUAGCAUUUUAUAGACAACUUGUUGACUAUGAUUUGUCUUGUAGCUUACUCGCUUAUGUUAUUUUACCUACGCUUAGGAUGUUGAUAUGCAUGACUGAUAU